RNAcentral lists this microRNA precursor (65 nucleotides) under Marmota monax (woodchuck). The record is from RNAcentral. Lineage: Eukaryota; Metazoa; Chordata; Mammalia; Rodentia; Sciuridae.
UCUUCUGAACAAGCAAGGGAAGUGGUUUCUUGAGGCAGAAUCUAUCCCAGUGAAGAUGCUAUGAA